RNAcentral lists this ribosomal RNA (337 nucleotides) under Pseudomonas oryzihabitans. RNAcentral describes it as "bacterial SSU rRNA". It matches the Rfam family "Bacterial small subunit ribosomal RNA", at positions 114 to 454 of the family's 1533-position model. The record is from RNAcentral. Lineage: Bacteria; Pseudomonadati; Pseudomonadota; Gammaproteobacteria; Pseudomonadales; Pseudomonadaceae.
UGCCUAGGAAUCUGCCUAGUAGUGGGGGACAACGUUUCGAAAGGAACGCUAAUACCGCAUACGUCCUACGGGAGAAAGUGGGGGAUCUUCGGACCUCACGCUAUUAGAUGAGCCUAGGUCGGAUUAGCUAGUUGGUAGGGUAAAGGCCUACCAAGGCGACGAUCCGUAACUGGUCUGAGAGGAUGAUCAGUCACACUGGAACUGAGACACGGUCCAGACUCCUACGGGAGGCAGCAGUGGGGAAUAUUGGACAAUGGGCGAAAGCCUGAUCCAGCCAUGCCGCGUGUGUGAAGAAGGCCUUCGGGUCGUAAAGCACUUUAAGUUGGGAGGAAGGGCU